ACUUAUGCCCUCGAUCAAGUCACCGCAUAGGUUACUUCAUGCGAGGAGAUCAAGCUCUUCAUCAACCACUAAAUCUGAAUCAAUAUUAUCUUGUCUGUCAUCAGUAUGCUGACCCUAACAAAACUAAGUCAUGCAAUCUUUUUAUCUCUAUGGAUUUAAAGGUAUUAACCGUCCUGCUAACAAUAUUACUACUAGAACCUAAUGACACCCCCACGUUUAGAAUAUUUUUAGCAACCACAGCAUCUUGAAAAGAAUCAAAAGAGAUGUUUGAAAUGUCGUUACCUUUAAGCUGAGGUCCCUCAAAAAAUUCCCGUGCUUUUGGCCUAGCCUCCUUUUCAAUUGAAUCUUGG
Molecule: long non-coding RNA, 350 nt
Filed under: Setaria viridis
Lineage: Eukaryota; Viridiplantae; Streptophyta; Magnoliopsida; Poales; Poaceae
Description: long non-coding RNA (SVIR_LNC000278)
Source: RNAcentral